Molecule: long non-coding RNA, 2495 nt
Organism: Haplochromis burtoni (Burton's mouthbrooder)
Lineage: Eukaryota; Metazoa; Chordata; Actinopteri; Cichliformes; Cichlidae
Exons: 2
Source: RefSeq, a predicted model, not a curated record
ACACACACACACACACACACACACACACACACACACAAAGAUCUGCACAUACACAAAGAUACGCACACCUGUUAUUACUGCGCAGUUUCAUUACAGUUAGCCUGUUUUCUUUUGAGUUUACAGUGUGAUUACCCGAGUAUUUCUCAUGUCAUUACAGAGUAAAUAUAUACAGUAAAUAUGCUUUUUUUCCCACAGGAAACGUAGUAAUUAUACAGAGUAAAUACUUGUAAACAUCUGGUAAUUUCACUGUAUUUGCGUACAGUUACAUGAGUAAGGACCAGGCUUCAUGUGAGUUUGACUCCGGGCUAAUUUACCUGUAUUUAAGCUGUAAUCACACCCACAACUGUAAACUCAGAUAACUCACUUCCUGUUGUUUCACAAUAAAAGUCUUCUUCUACUGAACAGUCAGAGGCCUUUAUUGUGAAAAGUGUUCAUUAAAAAACAAUAGUCCAUAUCUCUCUCUCUCUCUCUCACUCACUCACUCACACACACACACACACACACACACACACACACACACACACACACACACACACACACACAGCCUUCUUGAUGAUUAGCCAGGAGAGAACAUCCCAGCCUGCCCUCUGAUAUCAGCGCCCCCUUUUGUUUAAGCAGUGUAACUGCGAUCACUGACGAGCAAGUUGGCUGUUUGGAGCUUUGUCGCAUUUAUGUGUGCGUUGUUGGCCAAUAAUGCUAACAAUGAUAAUAAUGAUAAUGAAAUAUAUGUUUGACCUAAAUGCCCAAACCGACCUCGGUAUUGUUGAUAUCUGACGUGUUAACAAAACAAGUGUGGGAAAUGAGGCAGCAUUGCCCCGCCCUCACAGAGCCCAGGUGUUUGAGGUGUUUUACAGGUAAAAUUAAAAUUCUUUUCUGGCUAUUACAGGAAUAUAAAGCAUGUGAGGCUGAAAUCAGAAUGUGGACUCGAGUCGGUUAAAUGUCCAGCACACAGGUGAAGAACUGAAGACGCGGCGGGGCUUCACACAGCACCGUUACCGGACCCAGGGGAGGGGCGGGUGUACAGUAGUCGGCAUUAGUGCGUCGUGGUCGUGCGCCCUCGGCUUCAGCAGUCACGUGGGGGGCUGAUAUCGGGGAGGGAGGGGGGCCUUUAGUAUUGUAGUGUUUCUGUAUUAUAGCUCUGUCUGAACAUUGUUAGGUUUGAUCGCUUUUAUCACUGUGGGGGAAAAGUUGAUCCAAGUUUUUAUUCUCGCUCUUUGUUAUGUUUGGUUUCCCUUCGCGAAGGCGAAGACGGACGCCAUCCAUCGUCUCUGUAACCUCUUUCUGUCUCCUCGUGAUGUGAAAGGCUUUUUGUGAUCAAGUUCAUGGCAGGAAAUUAAAGUUGUUACAACCUGAAAACGUCUUGUCAUUCUCCACACUUAUCCCAAACACCAGACGCACUCGUGGCCAUCCAGUGUCAUUCUAGGACGGUGAACAUGGCUCAUGUCUUUCCUGGUAAAUCACCAUGGUAACUGAUGCUAAAGACCUAUCCUGUGAAGAAGGGGUAAAUCUGUUAUUUUCUCUGCCCUGUUGGCCCUGACGUUAGAUCUGCACUCGCACUCAUCCUCAUUUCAAACACCUGAAGCACCUUCAGGCUGAUGAUCUGAAGAAACCUGCAACCAGGAGCUCUUUGAUGUGGACACACCUGUCUGUGAUAAACAUGUGACCCAGAGUUUACCUUUAUUCAAUUCAGUUUUAUUUAUAUAGCACAAAAUCACAGCAGCAGUCGCCUCAAGGUGCUUUAUAUUGUCAGCAGGACCUACAAUAAUACAUACAGAGAAAGACCCAGACCUUGCUCUGGGAGCUCUCACUGAGCUACAUUUACAGAGCAAAAGCCUGCAGGUGUGAAUAAUGUUCCUGACUAAACUCCAGUGCAAACACUCGUUUUUGUAAGUCAUGACGCGCACCUCACGCCGCAGCGUGGAGCUGCACAGGCAGGACAUCUACUGCAGAAAGUGACUUGGCUCAUACACAUCAGCCUUUCAGCUUUCAGCCCGACUGUGUUUCAGAGGUGUCUUUGGGCAGACAGUGCUGUGGCUCUGGUUUGAAGGAAACACCGGGCAGAAUGUUAAAGCUGUGUUUUGUAGAGUCAGUACAGGGUUGAGGUUAGUCUCUGUGGGGUUUCUCCAUGGCUGACCUCUGGUCAGUGAUGUCCAUGUGUGAUGUGCCUCUGCCUGUCGCUGACACAGACGUGUGCAAGUUUACUGUGAAGCAUCUCUGUUGGAAAGGCUGUCAGCUGUGUGGGGGGGGCCCUUGUGGCAAGAGAGCACAGUUGCACUAUUGAGCACAUGUUCCAGUGAUCAGAGUUGGAGCUAGCACAUAGCAAGAGCCGCCUGGCAGACUGACUCUGCAGGGGAUGUCUACACACGGUGUGAGUUGUGUGCGUCGCUAAAGAACUACCACACACCCCUCACCACUCUGUAAGCCUGCGGUUGCAUGACUGUGUUGCUGUACUGUGCUGUUAAGCUGAGGAAUCACAGUAAAGACGGUAUAACCUU